UACGGAGGGGGCUAGCGUUGUUCGGAAUUACUGGGCGUAAAGCGCACGUAGGCGGCUUUGUAAGUUAGAGGUGAAAGCCCAGGGCUUAACCCUGGAAUUGCCUUUAAGACUGCAUCGCUAGAAUCGUGGAGAGGUGAGUGGAAUUCCGAGUGUAGAGGUGAAAUUCGUAGAUAUUCGGAAGAACACCAGUGGCGAAGGCGACUCACUGGACACGUAUUGACGCUGAGGUGGCGAAAGCGUGGGGAGCAAACAGGAUUAGAAC
Molecule: ribosomal RNA, 262 nt
Filed under: uncultured bacterium
Lineage: Bacteria
Description: partial 16S ribosomal RNA
Rfam family: Bacterial small subunit ribosomal RNA
Source: RNAcentral